UAUCUCCUAAUGUGGAACAAUAAUGCUUGGGGAUUAUUCGCUUUUAUUCCGUCAAUUAAAAUCUUUGGUAAACAGU
RNAcentral lists this transfer RNA (76 nucleotides) under Salmonella phage FSL SP-107. RNAcentral's name for it is "tRNA-Gln". Lineage: Duplodnaviria; Heunggongvirae; Uroviricota; Caudoviricetes; Andersonviridae. The record is from RNAcentral.